CGGAAGAAGUUAACACGGAGAUUCACAGUGAUGCUAAGCACGGCACAUUUAACAAUUGAAAAUAGUUUGAGAGCUAGUACUAAUGACACGAGAUGAAAAGGCGAGAUUUGAAGGAGGCAGUCAUGUUACACAGGUCUUAUAGCUGGUAAUCUAGAGAAUAUAGCUGGUGGUACACCGAGAGACGGCCAACGCAGCCUAUGACGGUGAAUAACUGCAUACACGAUGUGAAGAGAUGCUUAAAUUUCCCUUGUAAUGAGCGGGUGUGGUUGAUGCAAGGCAGGGUUGAUUGGAAAUUUGUGGUAGAAGUAAUUGAGCUGGCAAUUGGCCUCUGCAGAGUGAAGACUAGUAGGAACUGAAAACACUCACAUUGCCAAGCUCGGGGCGGCAGACGCGUCGAAUACGUUUGUUCUUUUGUCAGAGCGCGUGGGUGAAACUAAAAUUAUUCGCAAUGUGAAACGCGCUGUGCUCCUUGUGCCGUUGAAAGGCAGGGCUGUUUUUUUUUUUCGAUCGACCAUGUGUCAAGUGACUUGGGAUCGACUAGGCAGUCAGCGCGAGGAAACACGUUCAUGGUUAUUAAAAUCACGGAUUGUAAUUCGCCGUUAACGUCGAACGCGACACUUUGUGUAGAUUACGCGCUUUAGCGAACUUGCAGCCUCCGGUAUACGAAACAUGUGAGAUAAUAUUUCCCCGGUUAUUGCUCCUAAGAGUCCGCGUCGGUGUGCGUUGUGCACAGACGGAUUUCCCCGCCCAGAGAAAAAGGGAAAUAGGGCUAAACACCGGACCACAGAAAGAAGCUCUGUGUCGCUUUGGUGAACUGUCUCGUAUUGCGAUCACAGGUUUCAUGUUUUUCACGGAAGUGUUAGCUAAAACCAGUCCCGCUCAAUUAACUUCAUACCCAUUUGGUAAGAAUCGUGUAUUUCGCCUAUUUGUGUUGGUGUUUCUGUGAUUUAGUUUGACACGCGUCCUCCUUGUAAUAAUGCUGGUUUGUAACUCCGUGAUCGUCCUCGAGACAGCCAAGAAUGCCACUUCGAAUGAGCUCGUUCUGGCACAAGACACUCUAAUUGAAACUCGCCUCCUAUUUCCGACGAAGGUACCUCGGUAGUUUCAUUUCCACCAUUGUUUGAUGUGGCCUUUGUUUAGGCCCUUUCACCCAAAAGUGAGUGAUGAGGUCUCCGUUGAAGAUGCGUCUGUUUCGGUUAGCCACCGGAGGGAAAUGGCUUGCAUUUGCCCCAGCAAAGAAGUACAGUGCCAAACAAACCACGUACCAUCGAAUAAGCAUCGGUUUCGGAUAAUGUGACCUCGCGACUGGUAACGAUCCGCUGGCGAGUUUCAUAGUAGCCGUCGUCGCUACGACCUGUGUACCAGGCUUGAACCGCGCGCCGAACCGAGACGAUGAGCAGGCUUUCGGCUCCGGUAUAUAUGCGCGCAUUCUUACUAGCAGUUUGUUUGAGACACCGUUCACAUCUCCUUUAGUAGUUGGCUGAAAUUAGUGCCAGCGGCUUUUAAUCUGCGGUGCUGAGCGCUCGAAUUUCAUUGAAGAUCUUCAGAAUCCAGCGUGCGUCUAAAAGGUCAGCGACGCACUUUUCAGCAAAGGUCAUUACGAGCCGGAUUGCUUAGAAAGGUCUUGACUAUAUGAAAUUGAUAUUUCACAUAAAUGUUUUAGCAAAUUGCCCCUGCAGCGCCCCUUAUUCAUCAUUAGGCUGACCUUAUCGAGACAAUUAUAUAGAAUUUCUUGGUUAUUUUCUGAGCAGUUGAACGCCGCCGGAAAUGUUUUACAUCUCUAGUUGGACUUUGCUGGUUUGAGUUGAACAGUAUCAUUAAAAAAUAUUCCAGAUUUAAAAAAUGCUGCUUUCGUUCUCAUAGUUUCGCUUUUGCGUGAAACCACCGCUAUGGAAGCAGCGACAGAAGGAAGGUUUCAGAAUACGGCAGGCAGUGGAAUUACAACUGCUGACUUGGUGAUAUGCAAAUGUAUAUGUGCAGGACCUCGACAAACAUGCUGGGUCACUACUGAAGUAGUGAUUCAGCGUGUUUCAACUGCGCUGGCAUUAAAUGCGAAUGAAAUUUCUAGUACUUGUACAUCUAGUCAAAUAAUGUCCUUGGUAUUUGUUGCAUUUAUACUGGUCUUUCUUAGAUUGAGACAUCUUGGACAUCUCGGACAUUUAGGAGCGGAUAUGUGGUACGAAUCUUGACGAAAUUGUAUUGCUGAAUAGGCUGCUAAGUCGGCUAGACUUUGUAUUGUGCCAUGAGCUUUCUUGACUUGUAUGUUCUUGCCGUUCGGUGACUGCUCUGGAACGAACGUGUCAGAACCUUGUUUGUCCAAUUUACGAUAUGAUCGUUCUUGCAGAGGCUUCGAGAAUUUCCUGUGUCGUCGCAUUGUGAAUCUUGAUGAGGCUCCAUUCAGUAUUCUCGCACAUGUUCAAAGGCGUUGUCACUAGUUUUUAAAGGGCUGUUUAUCCCUAGGACGUCGCUGCUUGGCAGAUUAAUGCCAGCCACGGUAGAUGUCAUUUUUUUUCCGAAGGCAUUAUGGUGACACGUUUUUUACGUAUUGAGAGAUUCUGCUUUGGGUAGUUUGGCUCGAGAAAUUUGUCGAUCAAACGCGAUGAAGGCGAAUCACGGGGCUGCUAUUUAUUCGUCAAACCGAGAUUUGUUUAUACUAGCUAAUGAUACGUUACACGAAGUAAAAUUUGUCGCCACCAAAAAGCUUUCUGGAGAAACUUCUGCUAUAGGAGAAAGUCCUUUUGAAGGCGGCACACUAGCAAAUUUCCUUGGAAGUUUUGUCGAUUGAACUUGUGUGUGAAACAUUCAGUACGUAUUGUAUGACGUGGAAACUUGAGUUUCCGGGUCAUGAAGUACGAAAACUUGGUCCUUGAUGAAGCAAGGUUACCAAAGACUAGUUUGGCGGUGUAUUGCUAGUACACUCGAAACUAAUGAAAUGUCUCCGACGCUAGCGACGAAAUGUCCAUCGAGCGCAUGUCUAGUGAAUUUUUCAUUUCCAACUCAUUCGGGUGGCUUACAUUUUACAUGUUUCGUGGUCCGAAGUCGCGGUUAUUAGAUGCCAGCAGACGUCACCCAGACCAUUUGGCAAAAAUCUUGAACGAGUUUACUUCGGCAUUCCUCUUACGUGCGAUUUGUAAAACACCUGCAGGCAAGGUAUUGUUGAAUAAACUGCUUUUUUUUCUUCGUAAAUAUAGUGACCAUAAACAUUUUUUGAGUUAAGUUGUGGCGAAUACCUUUCCUCGAGCAUUUGAGACAGGUCAUGUUAAGUUUUCCAGCUCGAAAGUAUCGCAUUUUGACUUCCUCCCUGGCAGGCGUGUCCUAAAAUUAGCUGGAAAGCUUCAGCAGCUUGUUUGAAAACAGUUGAGAUGGCCAUGGAACGCUUGAACGCUGAGACGCUAAUAACGUGCACGCCAGCCCCAGGUUGCCUCACGUUCUUGCUAUCCCAUUCUGCAUUGUAUGUGACUCAUCUUUGUUGCGUUCCCUGUCAUCGUCACCACGCACUUCGGCUAGUUUAGAUAUGAGGUGCUAAGUAGUUAUAAACCAGUGAAAUCACUUGUUUAACCGCGCUCCACGGACGUUGCAGGCCGCCCCUUAAAGCCAGCUUUACAUUCUACGAACUGUCUGUGUUUUCAACCGCAGCGGCCGCAGAAAUCGGUCCUGUGCAGCGAAGCGGCGGAGUUUGGACUUGCUGAAAAUUUUUGAAAUGACGCUACGGCUGACCAAUGGUACUGCUGCACCAAUCUGACGUAUGUGCUGACAUUUCAGCGGUAGCGCAUGCUUGCUGGUCGGAGAGCGACAGUCGCUGAGUCGGCGGACGCUCGGAGUUGAAACAUGCGAAACAAACCUAAGUCGAGACUGCGUCGGUCUCGCGACAGGUAGUGGCCGACGCUGAGGCGCAGAGAAUGUGCUGAAAGGGCUGCUGACAGGGUGUCUGAGAACAUUUUGACGUGCCACAUUAACGGCGCGAGGCAAGUGGAGGCACAAAGAAUAGAAUCGGAAGAAAAAUCUCGAAAUUCGGCAUAUGCUUCCAUUAUUCUUUCUUCAGUGCCCUUGUUAACUGCGAGGUUUGCAUGACUAAGCGCUAUCGACUCGCCCGAUUUUCCGCUCCGCUCAGCUCCGACGCCAAUAGAGGCGCGCCUGGCACGCUUUUCCAGCUUCUGAACUUGUCUUGAGUAGCCUACUCAAGACGUGCUUUCCCACCCUUACCGAUCUAUGGCACAAGUUCGCAGUUCCGGCUGUGCCAACGCCAGGAACUGUGGUGUAGUCUGUGUUUUUGUCAGUGUGCAUCGAACGAGGGCUCCCGUAAUUCUCGAGAAUCAUUCAUUUCUUGUGUCUAACGUGUGUCUGCAAUAAGCUUUGCCGUGCAAUAAUACCGUGGACCACAUUUUUUCUUGCCUAUCGAGGGUUUAUGCUUUAUAGCGCGGACGACACUUUUGUUACCUUCGUUCCAAGGCUUUUUCUUGCGGGUAAAUGAUGGUGUGCAGUUUUGGUAAUAUCUAUGUGUUUUCGUGCUUCAAGACGCGUGAUGAAUUUCUCUCCGCCCUUCACAACGUUGUACGCGUGUAACCUUUGUUUCCUAUAACAACAAAGUUAAGCUGCAGUUUCAUCUCUUUCGAAACCAGCUCAGGCUUGGAACAGAUCACAGUCGUUGCUAGAGUGGUGUUUUUUUUUUUUUCCUCAGUGCUUCAGAUUGAAAUGUUCUCGCUCGUAGCAGGACAACGCUAAUUUUUCAAGUUGUAGCUGACGCAAGCACGUUGAAGCUGACGUAGCUGACGCAAGUUGGGGAGAUGUACUGAAAAAUGUUCUCUGUUACCAAGAGAGUAUAACUGCCGUGCAUGGCGAACGAUUGUUUCGUUUAGCCGGUAUUCUCCCGGAAUUGGAAUGACAUCUCGCGAUAUACGCAGAAGACGUGAAGAGGUCUUCCGCUGUGGUCUCCAUAUUUCUCGGAGCGCAAUGACGUCUUAUCGAGCAACUGAGCUCCGUUUUCCUUGUCCUUCUAAUCGUUAGUCGUCGCCGCCUGCGUCUUAACCAAGAGAGGUGUGUGCUGACGAAUAUGUUGUGUCAUUACGAAGCCAGUGUAUUACGACAAACGAGCGCAGUCGUGACGCACCACAGUGUCUGCUCCUAUGUGUCGGCUGCAAGCCACUAAAAAGAUUUACUGUGGAUUACAGCUCUUUGGCCUUACCAUAUACCUUAUCGCCUUACUGUGUACAACUCGAAACCUACUACCCAUUCAACUGCUUCGAAAGAGCUGUGAACGUGCGAUCUUAUGGCGAAACCCUCCUUUUAUGCUCGGGUCCAAAACCCUUUCGUCGUUGUGAAAGCUUUGGGUUCACCCCCACAAGUGUCGUUUGCUCCCGAACCUCUGGUGUCUGCUAUAUUGUUGUUCGUUAAACGCGGACACGUGCUCUCUUAGCACUAGCAAGAACAAAACAAGGGCAAUGGACGGCACAUGUCUUCGACCACUCGUACUGUGUAUGCUCAUUGCUUUUAGCCAACAAAAAAGCCUUCAAAGAUAGUAUAAAUUAUAUGCUAAACUCUGUUUUGUCUAUACGGGAGCAACGCAUGCCCCGUGACUGUCUCUACUGAAGGCCACACCUCAUCGAGUUGCUUGAAGACGCUCAACUUACUGACUCUGGUCAGUUCACUAAGGUGUUGAAGAACGCGGGUAUCUUCCCCCCCCCCCCCCCCCCCCUUAGUUUCCUCAGAAAUGUUGCAACGAGUAAUGAAUAUAGGAUAACCUGUUGUACGCAUGUUUCUUAGCCACUGUAUCGUAGCCGCCUAUCUCUCUGCUUGAACAUUACUGGCCUACUUUGUUCUGGCUAGAGCGUACGAUGGAAUCCGAUCCCCACCACCAGGUAUCUUUGCCCGAGCUCCGAGGACCCACGUGACGUGUGCUAUGCAUUUGAGCGACGACUCCGUAUGCGGCGGAGAGUGCCAAAAGUGGUGGUGCUUGAAUGUGAUCGGCGCCGACGUAGGAACGCUGUGACGAUGAAAACGCUAGCCAGUAUGCAACAUGCUCGUUCCGCCUUCUGAGAAGAUGACGCUUGUCCGGGUGGAGCCAACUUCGCUACGUUCGGUUCAGGAACAGUAGUCGGUUUAACUUGCCCAUCUGUUGUAGCAGAUUUGUGCGCCCUGCGGUCUUGGUGAGCACCGAAUCUUGGGAGUUUGUGUGAACUAGAGAGUUUCGGCACGGCGUGCGCGUACGUGUCCCAGCUGCCGUGUCAUGUCAAGCAUGAGCCUAAUGCGGCGGCCAGCCAUAGCGCUAGUUGCAGCACUAGCUUCCUGAAGCUGUAUUUGGACAUUAUAUGUGAAUAUUUUACUGCAUUGCGUGACCGUGGACCGCAUGUCGCCUGACACUUAGGUUCGGCCGAGAGAUUGAAGCACCCGUUAUGUACUUUCCGAAGAUGGAAUUGGAUAGCACAUUGUGUUACAUGUUUAGUUAUGCGCAAUUUGAAGGGAUCUUGUCGCAUGGCAUGUCUGUAAUACUGCAACCGCAAUGCAUGUAUGCAAAUCCUAAACUUUCUGCAACCUAUGCUUCUUUCAAGAUUUGAAAACCACGAGUGGGGCUUGCAUGGUAGGGAAUAAAAAAAAGCACACAGAGCGUAUCGUGACACUUGGGUAUCAGUAACGAGUGAUCACGUUUGGCACAUCUCUUACCGACGCGUCACACAAACGAUGGUACUAUUUUUUUUUUCCUUCGCGAGCCUAUAAGUGGCAAUAUUUUGUUAAUGAAUUCACACCAUGCAUGUAAACGUCACCUAAAUACAAGAACUACGCUGCUGCCCUUGUGAUAGGUGGCUUCUGCGGCGCCUCGAACUUUGUAUGGGGUCAUUUAAAAGGCUAUAGUAUGUUUGCUUUCGCCCCUUACGUAUUAUGCCCGCAAGUAUUGCAAGUGGGUCGGGAUGAAUGUCGCCACGAGGCAACGGGAUUACGUCACAGGAUGGUUGCGUCUUUCCCGUUUUUCUCCCUCCGCUCUUGCAGACGGCAAGUUUUGAAAAGAAUUUAUCUCCAGUCGCUAAACCGACGCAAAGUGUGCCUGUUGCGAGGUGGAGUGAAAGUUUCUUUCGUUUUAGCUGACGCACUACCACUUGUGCGAAGGUUUCCCAGCGAUCUCUACUGUGACUUCCGAUGUGGCCACUGUUCACGCAGUCGCUUGUGUGCCGUUGCGGAUCGCCGAGGACAAAAUAACGAGGAAAAAAAUUAAAUACGCGACGUUCGCAGUGAAGAAGACUUUGAGAGCGCCAGCAACUGCACCUCUCGAUGUGUUAGGCUGGAGUGAGACUAACUAUUCGUUGCCGACAUGUUAUUAUUGCGAAAGAGCGUGGACUAGGGAGGCUCAAAUAGGACAGCUCAACCGCCAACGGAAAAGAUGCAGGAACGUCAUCGAUUGACUGCUUGCAGGCGCUCAUUUCGCUUUUUGUUUACGAAGAACAGUGUCGCUGUAUAGUUGUAGUGCUAAUUAACCACAAUUGCAAACUCGUAACCACCCAAGUUAAACACAUUUAGAAUUAAGAGAGCAAACUCUUCCGAUUCUUGAUUUUGGAAAUUUAGCUUUCCUGUUGAGGUUUCAUAUCAUGCAUGAUUGUACGUGUACCGAGCGUUUCUACUCAUUCAUUGAAACUCCACUGCGCUCGCCAGCGAGUAAAACACAAUUCCAUGCUAAAAAUUUUAAUACAUUGUAAAAAUACCUUAGAUGCUCAGACGUGCGAAGCCUACCCUAGCUUCCACAUCGCCCCGUGGUUCCUCCGAGGGUGUCAGUUGUCGCCGCGCUUUCGAGUGAUCUGCGAACGGUGCUUCAAACAAGCAGACAAAUGUGAAUACCUACUUCUUCCGCUAUUUCUUCUAGGGCGCUGGUGCUUAAUUUCUGAGAAGCAUGACUCCAUCUUGCCAAAUAAAACGCUCCUUCCUAAUUCUUUUUCUUUCCCAUCAAUGACGUCGCCUUUCUUUUGGAGAGACGGGUAUACCGCAACGUAACCCCGACGAAAACCGUUUCCUUAGUGACACCGCGAUGGACCGCAACGCUACUGCGUGAAUGUUUUCUUAUUACCGUACGGCAGCUUUGGCACAGCGGGGAACGCUGGAGGACAGUCCACUGCCGAAAAGCCUCCAGGCAGUGUUGCUGUUUUAGCGAGGAGGAUUCCCUACAUGUGGCUUAAUUGAGGCUCACUUAGCGGCGCAUCAUACACGCUUGUUGUGGACAGCUGGAAUUUUAAAACAACACAAAUUUCGAUCGAAGGUUUUUGUAUGGCGAAUGUUUAGCACAUCCAUGCAAACGUUUACUGGAUUGCAGCGGAUUACGAACGUCGCUUUACUUGAGCGACACUGUGCAAUGUUUGAGUUCGUAAGCGCUUAACGGGACUAUCUGUAUACGCGGCUCUUCUAACACGCUUUUUCUUGCAACAUAGGGAGCAUUUUCAAAGGGCAUAUGUGCGUUUCGGCACGGACGGAAACAGCUAGGUGCCGCACCACAAAAAUAUUUGAUGCUUUCCUAUUGUUUUCUAACAAUACAAGGUAAUCACAGUAACCGUUACGUACGCUAUGCCACCCGAACGUGUGCGUUUUAACUGAUUUCAUUCUUCUUCUCGUUAUCUUUUUAAUAGACUCACAAAAUCAUCUAGUGGAUUCUAAAAUAUGUUGAAUGUGCACCACUAAAGCGGAACAUCCGCAAGUAGAACACGGCAGACGCGAAACCUCGAGGUUGAAGGUAUAGCCCGAUGACACCGGCAUUUGCAAAGGCUUUCGGCCGCUCACUGUUUGCCGGCCGCUUCUCUUCCUAUAUUUACCUGUGGUAAAAAUGCUGCUGUAGCAGUAAACGAACUCGGAGCCGAAGGAAUCGCUGAUGUCUGAUUUAUUUUUUUUUCACACUCGGGCUGAGAACACUAACAUUUUUCUUUCCAGAACGUUUUUUUUUUUUUUCGCUUUAUGCUUUCUUUUAGAUAGCGGCCAAACGUAUGGUCAAGGCGUGUAAGCUUUUCCAUCUCACUGAGGACUUUAGCGUGGACACAGCUUCGACAGAUAAUGCAAGCGUUGCAGUUAUGUGUGUGGCUUACUGGAAAAAAAAAAAGAUACCGCGAGCUGUGUUGUUGCGCCCGAAUGAUAUUUUGCUUGAAAGGGGCGUGGCGCACGAAAAAAAAAAAUCUAUUUGCUGUUGAACUGGUGGUGUUUCGUUACGAGCUUUUAGCAGUAUACGAUUCUUAUCUGGAGCGAGUGUCCCAGAAACUCGGAGAAAAAAAAAAAAAUCUCACUGUGCCAUGCAGAGGCGCGAGCACGCUUUGUUUACGGGACCACUACAACAGAAUUUGUUUCGCUGUUUCGGAGUGUGUACUUUAUGUAGCGGUCUUGUCGAGCGUGCCUGGCCACGAAGCUUCUGCGUGUCGGUAAGCCUUACUGCAAAAAAAUGCAACUCCGGCUGUAGCUGUCGCAGUUGUCUUUAGCUGAUACACUGCACCCAGCACAAAACGAACAUUUGUCAUGCCUGCGUUCUCUUCAGUUGAACGUUCAUUCAAGUGUAACGCUCUGUCCUGUUUACUCCUUCCUCUCUUUCGCCUGUGGUUCCCGUUGUCUUAGGCCCAAUGUAUAAGUUCAACUUAUAUUUACCUUAUGGCGACUCACUGAAGUCUGCGUCAGGAGGCCUGGAGACUGGAUGUUGCAUUGCGUUGUCGAACAGGACGCUUACUAAUGAGGAAACGAAUGUUUAUCUUUGACAAAAUCUGCAAGCAGUUGCACGUCAUUUUGAAGGACGCGCUCUUCGCUGCUGCAAAUUCUGAGGCAGCGAUGUUUCCACAGCACUAAUUCUCAGUUGUUCAGAUUCUUUCUUAGCGGGCAAUACAUCUACUGAAUAUAUGGGUAAUCAUUAAGACCAGUGUCUUAUGAAGACGCAGUGAAGGUGUACUUAGGCCGCUAUAGAUACUGCAUACUUAUUCGGCAUGCGAUAGUAAACGAGAGUGUUCGGGAUAAUGUGGUUAAUGAGCCGCCACCAUCGUAAUUCAGUGGGAAGAGCAGCGUUUGAAACGAAAAAAAAAGUUAUAUUUGCAAGAUAUUUUCAUUCCCCUAAUAGAAAGUGGGCGAAAUUGUUGGAGGCGUUUAAACUCAAAACUCGCGUUUAGUGAAGAGUAGUGAAUUACAGAAACUGCAGCGAAUGUGGCGGCAAAGUCCUGUGACGCUGGUGAUUGCUGCUCACGUCAAAGAGUGUUAUUCUGAGAAUAGUAAAGGCGCAUGCGGAUUCGUCACUUUGUCUAUUGGGUAUUUGCGGUUUAGUUGUUAUUGGCGCCAGUAUCUGCAAUCAUAGCUAGACUGGCGUGAGAAUGAUGGGUAAGGACUUGAUAACUUCACCCUUCUCGCUUGAAACCAAAUAUUAGUAUAACUUGUCAUCGCAAGUUUUUGUGUAUGAAAAUUAUUUCCAUCAUGUAGCCUUUAAUUCCUGUCGUCCUGUUCGAUGCAAAACGUUAUAAAAAUGAGUGAAGGGCUCGGAAGGGAAAUAAAUAAUGAAUCGUGAUAUGGGUUGCUUCCCAGAUAUUGCCUUGAUUCAGCAACACGACCACGCCCGGAAAUAUCAAGAUUUAUUUUUUGCGCUGUAAACUGCGUGAUCAGGUUAGUUCGGGACGUAAUACGCUUAACUGCUCCAACGAAACGUUGAGACGCUAGCGUUAAACAUAAAUGAACCACAAAAGGUAGUAAUGCAGAAGGUUAAUGUCCCUUGUUAACCAGGACAUGCUACAUCCGCGAAAAGUUAACGUAGCGAAUACUACGGCUACUGUCAGUAGAGAAGGAACGAGAAUUCGAAGAAAACGAUGAUUCUUCUUGAAGCGACACCGAAUCGAUGGGAUCAUCAUGUAGAUGGUGUAGCGGCGCACAGGGGACGAGCUUUCCUUCUCCCCAAAAGCAUGUAGUCUAUUCUCGUUCCUGUUUGCCUUAGAAAACCGGUAGCAUUCCCUGCAGUGCACGGAACUGGUGAAACAGAGGAUGGAGCCGCAUUUGACCACGCGACAUCGUAAACUUAGCCGUUCGCGCGUGUAACAUUUGAGAAACGGAAAUCAGAAAAAGAAGUCGAUACUGAACUGCAUAUAAAUGGACAUUAAGAAGAGAGAUAAAAAAAAGAGGUGCCGACGAUAAGACUAAGGGAGCCGCUCGAAAUAAUUUUUUUUAAUGGAGUGGCCACGCACGUUCGACGCGUGCCGUAUAAUUGUUUUGAGUGGGUGUGCAAGACGUUUCGUUUCAGCCCUCGUUGUGUUCUAUCCUGCCUAGCUCCACGUAGCGGCGUGUGCCAGUUUGACCCUGCCUUUUGCUCGCGUGCCACGCGCACGAGGCCUGUCUCCCAUGGAGGUGUCUUUCUCUCUCUCUGUCCUCCGCAAUCGCCAACGCUUCCUCUCAAUGUUCAACGAACAAAUAAAGAAAAAAGUCUGGUUUCUGA
This is a long non-coding RNA of Dermacentor silvarum, 11410 nucleotides long. RefSeq lists it as uncharacterized. Lineage: Eukaryota; Metazoa; Arthropoda; Arachnida; Ixodida; Ixodidae. The record is from RefSeq and is a predicted model, not a curated record. The transcript has 2 exons.